AUAAAAUCUAUGAAGAGAAAGAGUAAGAUGAGAACCCUGUUCCACAGAGAGUCGACAUGUGGUGGAAGUCGAUGUCCAAGGCCUAUCCGAAAAUCAUCUCUGAGAUGCAAAGCUGAAAAUGCAGUAGGCUUUGACGGGUUUCCGCCGUUACAAUGGAUCACGUAUGAAUUCGUACGUUGACUGAGUGCCGCAGCUUCUUUGAAGUGCGGAAUAUGGGUGGUAACGCGAGCACAAACUCGUCCCUGAU
RNAcentral lists this non-coding RNA (247 nucleotides) under Bacillus sp. (in: firmicutes). Its description in RNAcentral is "Bacillus sp. T-box sequence". It matches the Rfam family "T-box leader". From Rfam's summary of the family: Uncharged tRNA acts as the effector for transcription antitermination of genes in the T-box leader family. T-boxes are found upstream of many aminoacyl-tRNA synthetase genes and some amino acid biosynthetic genes usually in Gram-positive bacteria. The anticodon of a specific tRNA base pairs to a specifier sequence within the T-box motif, and the NCCA acceptor tail of the tRNA base pairs to a conserved bulge in the T-box antiterminator hairpin. The record is from RNAcentral. RNAcentral also lists the same sequence under 1 other name. Lineage: Bacteria; Bacillati; Bacillota; Bacilli; Caryophanales; Bacillaceae.